GUGCUUGCUCUGGCAGCACAUAUGCUAAAAUUGGAACAAUACAAAGAACAUUAGCAUGGCCCCUGUGCAAGAAUGACAUGCAAAUUCAUGAAGCAUUCCAUAUUAAA
Small nuclear RNA from Lacerta agilis (Sand lizard), 107 nucleotides. The record is from RefSeq and is a predicted model, not a curated record. Lineage: Eukaryota; Metazoa; Chordata; Lepidosauria; Squamata; Lacertidae.